RNAcentral lists this transfer RNA (74 nucleotides) under Patescibacteria group bacterium. Its description in RNAcentral is "tRNA-Thr". It matches the Rfam family "tRNA". From Rfam's summary of the family: Transfer RNA (tRNA) molecules are approximately 80 nucleotides in length. Their secondary structure includes four short double-helical elements and three loops (D, anti-codon, and T loops). Further hydrogen bonds mediate the characteristic L-shaped molecular structure. tRNAs have two regions of fundamental functional importance: the anti-codon, which is responsible for specific mRNA codon recognition, and the 3' end, to which the tRNAs corresponding amino acid is attached (by aminoacyl-tRNA synthetases). tRNAs cope with the degeneracy of the genetic code in two manners: having more than one tRNA (with a specific anti-codon) for a particular amino acid; and 'wobble' base-pairing, i.e. permitting non-standard base-pairing at the 3rd anti-codon position. The record is from RNAcentral.
GCCCUUGUAGCUCAAUGGUAGAGCAGCUGUUUCGUAAACAGCCGACGCCGGUUCGAUCCCGGACUGGGGCUCCA